Molecule: ribosomal RNA, 448 nt
Filed under: uncultured bacterium
Lineage: Bacteria
Description: bacterial SSU rRNA
Rfam family: Bacterial small subunit ribosomal RNA
Source: RNAcentral
CCCCAGACUCCUACGGGAGGCAGCAGUGGGGAAUAUUGCACAAUGGGGGAAACCCUGAUGCAGCGACGCCGUGUGAGUGAAGAAGUAUUUCGGUAUGUAAAGCUCUAUCAGCAGGAAAGAAAAUGACGGUACCUGACUAAGAAGCCCCGGCUAACUACGUGCCAGCAGCCGCGGUAAUACGUAGGGGGCAAGCGUUAUCCGGAUUUACUGGGGGUAAAGGGAGCGUAGACGGCAGCGCAAGUCUGGAGUGAAAUGCCGGGGCCCAACCCCGGAACUGCUCUGGAAACUGUGAAGCUGGAGUGCAGGAGAGGUAAGUGGAAUUCCUAGUGUAGCGGUGAAAUGCGUAGAUAUUAGGAGGAACACCAGUGGCGAAGGCGGCUUACUGGACUGUAAAUGACGCUGAGGCUCGAAAGCGUGGGGAGCAAACAGGAUUAGAUACCCCUGUAAG